Molecule: ribosomal RNA, 468 nt
Filed under: uncultured bacterium
Lineage: Bacteria
Description: partial 16S ribosomal RNA
Rfam family: Bacterial small subunit ribosomal RNA
Source: RNAcentral
GACGAACGCUGGCGGCGUGCUUAACACAUGCAAGUCGAACGGAAAGGCCCUGCUUUGUGGGGGUGCUCGAGGGGCGAAGGGGUGAGUAACACGUGAGUAACCUGCCCUUGACUUUGGGAUAACUUCAGGAAACUGGGGCUAAUACCGGAUAGGAGCUCCUGCUGCAUGGUGGGGGUUGGAAAGUUUCGGCGGUUGGGGGUGGACUCGCGGCUUAUCAGCUUGUUGGUGGGGUAGUGGAUUACCAAGGCUUUGACGGGUAGCCGGCCUGAGAGGGUGACCGGCCACGUUGGGACUGAGAUACGGCCCAGACUCCUACGGGAGGCAGCAGUGGGGUAUAUUGCACAAUGGGAGGAAGCAUGAUGCAGUAAAGCAGCGUGCGGGAUGACGGGAUUCGGGUUGUAAACCGCUUUCGCCUGUGACGAAGCGUGAGUGACGGUAAUGGGUAAAGAAGCACCGGCUAACUACGUG